Long non-coding RNA from Mytilus californianus (California mussel), 912 nucleotides. RefSeq lists it as uncharacterized. The transcript is spliced from 3 exons. Lineage: Eukaryota; Metazoa; Mollusca; Bivalvia; Mytilida; Mytilidae. The record is from RefSeq and is a predicted model, not a curated record.
AACGAAUCAUAUAUGAGGAGUGUGUACAGAGUGUACUAAAGCGAAUGUCAAGGAGUGUUGCUUGGUGAAGCAGAAAACCAACUUUCUGUUUAAACUAUUCGAAGUUAUACCAAGCAACUACAAAGGCCAACAUGGGGACAGGGUUUUUAAUAUUCAUAAUUCUCUUUUCAAUUAUAUUUUUGUUGCAAAUAGUUGGCUUCUUCUCUCCAUAUUGGGAUAUACAGUGUGUGAAAAAUUAUGAUCCGAACAUUACUAAUUCAAACAACGAGACAUGUUUUAACCAGGGAUUGUUUUUUGGAUGUGACGACAGUGGAAAAUGUAGACUAACAAACAUUAUAGACAGUAGAAUUUUUGGAUUAGCAGUAGCCAUAAUUUUUGGGAACAUUGUUGUAUUGGUUCUUUUGAUACUUGUCCUGGCUCAUGUAUGCGAUGAUAACAAAAAAUUAAUGAAGACAGGAGCAAUGUUAUUGUUUGCAGUUACAGAGAUAUUGAAUAUUGCUUCGACAAUAAUUGUUUGGCUGGACAGUUACACUAUUGGUUGGAGUUGGUGGGUGUCUGCCUGGUCUGCAGUCAUUCUUAUAGCCAUCAUUGCAUUAACAUGCCUGUGUGCUAUCAUGUCAUCCGAUGAAAAGGAGGGAAACAGCAAUAGCCACAAACGUUAUUUUAUUUACUACUAUGUUGUAGAAGUUGAUUGAAUAAUUCAUCGUGAAUAAAAAAUUACCCCUUAAUUUAUUUAUAUAAUUAUUCAUCUAAAACAUCUGCCAUUUUUAAAGGAAGAGGUACGUUAAGAGCCAUUAUUUGACUUCGGAAACUGCAAAAAUAAUUUAUUAAGUUAUUCGAGCGUUCCAAAAUUAUGUACAUUUGCCUUAUAAAUAAAAAGUUUAUAAAAGCUGGGCACUUUGGUGCAUAAUA